This 467-nucleotide ribosomal RNA is filed under the name uncultured bacterium. RNAcentral describes it as "partial 16S ribosomal RNA". It matches the Rfam family "Bacterial small subunit ribosomal RNA", at positions 28 to 507 of the family's 1533-position model. The record is from RNAcentral.
GAUGAACGCUGGCGGCGUGCUUAACACAUGCAAGUCGAACGGAAGGACGCCUGCUUGCCGGCGUACUCGAGUGGCGAACGGGUGAGUGACACGUGGGUGAACUGCCCUGCACUUCGGGAUAAGCCUUGGAAACUGGGUCUAAUACCGGAUAGGACCACAUUUUGGGUGGUGUGGUGGAGAGAUUUGCGGUGUGGGAGGUGCUCGGGGCCUAUCAGCUUGUUGGUGGGGUAGUGGCCUAGCAAGGCGGCGACGGGUAGCCGGCCUGCGAGGGCGUAGGGCCAGUCUGGACCUGUGAGACAGGCCAGACUCCUGCGUGUUGCAGCAGUGGGGAAUACCGCACAAUGCGCGGCAGCGUGAUGCAGCGAGGCCGCGUGGGGGAUGAAGGCUUUCGUGUGGGAAGCACCUAUCGCUAGGGACGAGGCGUUUUUGUGACGGUACCUGAAGAAGAAGCACCGGCUAACUACGUG